RNAcentral lists this ribosomal RNA (454 nucleotides) under uncultured Acidovorax sp. RNAcentral's name for it is "bacterial SSU rRNA". It matches the Rfam family "Bacterial small subunit ribosomal RNA", at positions 924 to 1382 of the family's 1533-position model. The record is from RNAcentral. Lineage: Bacteria; Pseudomonadati; Pseudomonadota; Betaproteobacteria; Burkholderiales; Comamonadaceae.
CACAAGCGGUGGAUGAUGUGGUUAAUUCGAUGCAACGCGAAAACUUACCACCUUUGACAUGUACGGAAUCCUUUAGAGAUAGAGGAGUGCUCGAAAGAGAGCCGUAACACAGGUGCUGCAUGGCUGUCGUCAGCUCGUGUCGUGAGAUGUUGGGUUAAGUCCCGCAACGAGCGCAACCCUUGUCAUUAGUUGCUACAUUCAGUUGGGCACUCUAAUGAGACUGCCGGUGACAAACCGGAGGAAGGUGGGGAUGACGUCAAGUCCUCAUGGCCCUUAUAGGUGGGGCUACACACGUCAUACAAUGGAUGGUACAAAGGGUCGCCAACCCGCGAGGGGGAGCCAAUCCCAUAAAGCCAUUCGUAGUCCGGAUCGCAGUCUGCAACUCGACUGCGUGAAGUCGGAAUCGCUAGUAAUCGUGGAUCAGAAUGUCACGGUGAAUACGUUCCCGGGUCUU